AUCCCAUGAUGACGGCACCUACGAAGUAAUUCUUUGAAUCUAUCCCAUGCCUCAUACAAAGAUUCAUCAUCCAAUUGUUAAAAAUUAGCUAUCUCAUUUCGCAACUU
Gossypium raimondii (Peruvian cotton) is the source of this 107-nucleotide small nucleolar RNA. It matches the Rfam family "Plant small nucleolar RNA R71". Rfam says of the family: R71 is a member of the C/D box family of snoRNAs containing the C (UGAUGA) and D (CUGA) box motifs. Multiple nearly identical copies of this snoRNA have been identified in Arabidopsis, and it is thought to function as a 2'-O-ribose methylation guide for 18S ribosomal RNA. Lineage: Eukaryota; Viridiplantae; Streptophyta; Magnoliopsida; Malvales; Malvaceae. The record is from Rfam.